Non-coding RNA from Acanthosepion pharaonis, 103 nucleotides. The record is from the annotation of a GenBank genome assembly. NCBI's taxonomy places the organism in Eukaryota, Metazoa, Mollusca, Cephalopoda, Sepiida, Sepiidae.
CGGCUACAUCACGUUGAAACACCACUUCUCGUACGAGCACCAAAGUUAAGCAACGUCGAGCCUGAUCAGUACCUAGAUUGGUGACCGUUGAGGAAUAGCAUGU